GACGAACGCUGGCGGCGUGCUUAACACAUGCAAGUCGAACGGAAAGGCUUCUUUCGGGGGGUACUCGCGUGGCGAACGGGUGAGUAACACGUGAGUAACCUGCCCUUGUCUUUGGGAUAACUUCAGUAAACUGGGGCUAAUACCGGACAGGAGCUCCUGCUGCAUGGAGGGGGUUGGAAAGUUUCGGCGGUUGGGGAUGGACUCGCGGCGUAUCAGCUUGUCGGUGGGGUAGUGGGUUACCAAGGCCUUGACGGGUAGCCGGCCUGUGAGGGUGACAGGCGACAUUGGGACUGAGAUACGGCCCAGACUGCUACGGGAGGCAGCAGUGGGGAAUAUUGCACAAUGGGUGGAAGCCUGAUGCAGCAACGCCGUGUGCGGGAUGACGGUCUUCGGGUUGUAAACCGAUUUCGCUCAUGACGAAGCUUUGUGUGACGGUAGUGAGUAAAGAAGCACCGGCUAACUACGUG
RNAcentral lists this ribosomal RNA (467 nucleotides) under uncultured bacterium. Its description in RNAcentral is "partial 16S ribosomal RNA". It matches the Rfam family "Bacterial small subunit ribosomal RNA", at positions 28 to 507 of the family's 1533-position model. The record is from RNAcentral.